UAUGGAGGGUGCGAGCGGUAAUCGGAAUUACUGGGCGUAAAGGGCGCGUAGGCGGUGGGUUACGUCUGCCGUGAAAUCCCCGGGCUCAACCUGGGAAUGGCGGUGGAAACGGGCUGACUGGAGUAUGGGAGAGGGUGAUGGAAUUCCAGGUGUAGCGGUGAAAUGCGUAGAGAUCUGGAGGAACACCAGUGGCGAAGGUGGUCACCUGGCCCAAUACUGACGCUGAGGCGCGAAAGCGUGGGGAGCAAACAGG
RNAcentral lists this ribosomal RNA (253 nucleotides) under uncultured bacterium. RNAcentral describes it as "partial 16S ribosomal RNA". It matches the Rfam family "Bacterial small subunit ribosomal RNA", at positions 524 to 776 of the family's 1533-position model. The record is from RNAcentral.